RNAcentral lists this ribosomal RNA (625 nucleotides) under uncultured ciliate. RNAcentral describes it as "SSU rRNA". It matches the Rfam family "Eukaryotic small subunit ribosomal RNA", at positions 326 to 964 of the family's 1831-position model. Lineage: Eukaryota; Ciliophora. The record is from RNAcentral.
UGGUAGUGUAUUGGACUACCAUGGCGUUUACGGGUAACGGAGGAUUAGGGUUCGAUUCCGGAGAGGGAGCCUGAGAAACGGCUACCACAUCUAAGGAAGGCAGCAGGCGCGUAAAUUACCCAAUCCUGACUCAGGGAGGUAGUGACAAGAAAUAGCGGACAGAGACCCUUGUGGUUUCUGGAUUGCAAUGAGCCGAAUUUACACCCCUUAGCGAAUGUCGAUUGGAGGGCAAGUCUGGUGCCAGCAGCCGCGGUAAUUCCAGCUCCAAUAGCGUAUAUUAAAGUUGUUGCAGUUAAAAAGCUCGUAGUUGGAUUUCUGAUAGAGUGCCAAUGUCCGCUUUAUGCGUGUGCAGCGGCGCUCUAUCAUCCUUCUGUUAACAUUACUCGGCAUGCAUUUGCCGGUAAUGGGCUCAGAUAUUUUACCUUGAGAAAAUUAGAGUGUUUCAGGCAGGCUAAGCCGGAAUACAUUAGCAUGGAAUAAUGGAAUAGGACUGAGGUCUCUUUGUUGGUUUGAGGGACUCCAGUAAUGAUUAAUAGGGACAGUUGGGGGCAUUAGUAUUUAAUAGUCAGAGGUGGAAUUCUCAGAUUUGUUAAAGACUAACCUAUGCGUAAGCAUUUGCCAAGGA